Molecule: ribosomal RNA, 497 nt
Filed under: uncultured bacterium
Lineage: Bacteria
Description: partial 16S ribosomal RNA
Rfam family: Bacterial small subunit ribosomal RNA
Source: RNAcentral
GAUGAACGCUGGCGGCGUGCCUAAUACAUGCAAGUCGAGCGAACAGACGAGGAGCUUGCUCCUCUGACGUUAGCGGCGGACGGGUGAGUAACACGUGGAUAACCUACCUAUAAGACUGGGAUAACUUCGGGAAACCGGAGCUAAUACCGGAUAAUAUAUUGAACCGCAUGGUUCAAUAGUGAAAUACGGUUUUGCUGUCACUUAUAGAUGGAUCCGCGCCGCAUUAGCUAGUUGGUAAGUUAACGGCUUACCAAGGCAACGAUGCGUAGCCGACCUGAGUGGGUGAUAGGCCACACUGGAAGUGAGACACGGUCCAGACUACUACGGGAGGCAGCAGUAGGGAAUCUUCCGCAAUGGGCGAAAGCUUGACGGAGCAACGCCGCGUGAGUGAUGAAGGUCUUCGGAUCGUAAAACUCUGUUAUUAGGGAAGAACAAAUGUGUAAGUAACUAUGCACGUCUUGACGGUACCUAAUCAGAAAGCCACGGCUAACUACGUG